GCUGGCUUAUGUAGCGUCAAAGGAAACUUUAAAGGAAGCUACAGUAAAGCCACCAAAUAAUUUGGUCAACGAAGAAGAACAUAACACACCACCAGUGGCGUUGAGCGGUGGUGGAACUGGUGGAUACCAGCAGUCGAAAAAAAUGUGCAUGUACACUCCCGACAUAAACUACUUCUGUGUGGCACAGAUGAAGGGGCUCUAAAUAAAAUCCGGCUUAUUUUUCGGCAAUAAUGACAAUAUCAAAUAAAGCUUUAUGGCAAUAA
Molecule: long non-coding RNA, 263 nt
Organism: Cydia pomonella (codling moth)
Lineage: Eukaryota; Metazoa; Arthropoda; Insecta; Lepidoptera; Tortricidae
Exons: 5
Source: RefSeq, a predicted model, not a curated record